AAGAUUAAGCCAUGCAUGUCUAAGUAUAAGCAAUUAUACAGUGAAACUGCGAAUGGCUCAUUAAAUCAGUUAUCGUUUAUUUGAUAGUACCUUACUACUUGGAUAUCCGUGGUAAUUCUAGAGCUAAUACAUGCUUAAAAUCCCGACCUCUGGAAGGGAUGUAUUUAUUAGAUAAAAAAUCAAUGUCUUCGGACUCUUUGAUGAUUCAUAAUAACUUUUCGAAUCGCAU
Molecule: ribosomal RNA, 229 nt
Filed under: uncultured fungus
Lineage: Eukaryota; Fungi
Description: partial 18S ribosomal RNA
Rfam family: Eukaryotic small subunit ribosomal RNA
Source: RNAcentral